GUAGAGCACUCUACGGGAGGCAGCAGUGGGGAAUAUUGCACAAUGGGCGCAAGCCUGAUGCAGCCAUGCCGCGUGUAUGAAGAAGGCCUUCGGGUUGUAAAGUACUUUCAGCAGUGAGGAAGGUGGGUAUGUUAAUAGCAUACUCAUUUGACGUUAGCUGCAGAAGAAGCACCGGCUAACUCCGUGCCAGCAGCCGCGGUAAUACGGAGGGUGCGAGCGUUAAUCGGAAUUACUGGGCGUAAAGCGCAUGCAGGUGGUUUGUUAAGUCAGAUGUGAAAGCCCGGGGCUCAACCUCGGAAUUGCAUUUGAAACUGGCAAACUAGAGUACUGUAGAGGGGGUAGAAUUUCAGGUGUAGCGGUGAAAAUGCGUAGAGAUCUGAAGGAAUACCGGUGGCGAAGGCGGCCCCCUGGACAGAUACUGACACUCAGAUGCGAAAGCGUGGGGAGCAAACAGGAUUAGAUACCCUGGUAG
Molecule: ribosomal RNA, 472 nt
Filed under: uncultured bacterium
Lineage: Bacteria
Description: bacterial SSU rRNA
Rfam family: Bacterial small subunit ribosomal RNA
Source: RNAcentral